AUGUAUGUACUAAAGUCACCAUUGCCACCUCCUAUUAACAUAUCCUGGGUCACAGUCAGCACCACAACAGCAGAUAUUUCCUUGGGAGCUGAGGAGGUUGGCAACAGUGUUGCCAGCAUUUUUGUUGGCAAGUGGCUGGGCUGGUGGGAGAAACUGCCCAAAGGAAGCACUGUGGUUUCGGCCACACAGUUGUUGGAUGAGUUAAUGGGCUGGGACGGAAACCUCGCCCCAGACAAGAAGCGCAGCAACAUGUGGUAGGACCACAAGAGCAUUUAUAAAUAUUUUCUCUGCGGUUUUUGUCUGCAGAAUUGUUCACAAAUACACAUUCUGAUCUUGGUCCAUGUGAAAAAAACUCAUACUGAAAACCUACAAAAGCAGUGUAAGAAGAGCUCUUGUUUUAUGAAAGUUGGCUAUGAGAGAGGUUUUUUUUUUUUCCAUAAUUACAGAGCUUACUUGCAAAAGUAGAACGUAGAAUCAGAUAAGGCCAUGCUCGUUUGGCAUCUCAAAGCCAGCAGUCUUCUUGGGCGGCUGGCCCAACAGGCAAAAAUGAAGCAAAAAUUCAGGUUCUAACAGACAACAUUGAUGUGCUUCUGCAACAGACUGAAGAAUUAGGGGUAGAAGGAAAAGUAGUAGAAGCCCAGUGGAUGAUGAAAUUAGUUGAACAAUUAAAAGACGAGAGAGAAUUGCCUGGAUCCACAACCUUGAAAAUUGAAAGUUUUGCUGAACACAUACAAAAAAAAUGGAAGUUGGUGAAGUGUGUGGAGCCUUUUUGAUAGUAGGAGAUGCCCAGUCCCAGGUAGAUGACCGUUUGUUGGGAAAACAACACAUGGGAUAUGCCAACAUUAAAACUACUGUAGAAGAAUUAAAAGAAACAUUAAGAAAAAGAACUCAAGAAUCUGAUCAUGAUGACUGUCUAAAAAGGGAGAAGCAAGAAAGAAAAGAGAAAAAGAACAUGAAAGAGGAAGUGAAGGAGAAAGGAAAAGAUUAA
Molecule: RNA transcript, 988 nt
Organism: Cebus imitator (Panamanian white-faced capuchin)
Lineage: Eukaryota; Metazoa; Chordata; Mammalia; Primates; Cebidae
Gene name: luc7-like protein 3
Exons: 2
Source: RefSeq, a predicted model, not a curated record